This 377-nucleotide ribosomal RNA is filed under the name uncultured bacterium. Its description in RNAcentral is "bacterial SSU rRNA". It matches the Rfam family "Bacterial small subunit ribosomal RNA", at positions 523 to 898 of the family's 1533-position model. The record is from RNAcentral.
AUACGUAGGGGGCGAGCGUUGUCCGGAAUUACUGGGUGUAAAGGGCGUGUAGGCGGGGCAGCAAGUUAUCGGUAAAAACCCGGGGCUCAACCUCGGGCUUGCCGAUAAAACUGCAGCUCUUGAGUGCAGGAGAGGGAAGUGGAAUUCUCGGAGUAGCGGUGAAAUGCGUAGAUACCGGGAGGAACACCAGUGGCGAAGGCGGCUUCCUGGCCUGUAACUGACGCUGAGGCGCGAAAGCUGGGGGAGCGAACGGGAUUAGAUACCCCGGUAGUCCCAGCCGUAAACGAUGGUCACUAGGUGUGGGGUGUGGUCAAGCACUCCGUGCCGGAGCGAACGCAAUAAGUAUUCCGCCUGGGGAGUACGGUCGCAAGAUUAAA